AGUGGGAUAGCUGGGUCAAAUGGUGGUUUUACUCCAAGUUUUCCAAGGAAUCACCAUACUGCUUUCCAUAUUGGCUGCACCACUUUGCAGCCCCACCAGCAGU
Molecule: microRNA precursor, 103 nt
Filed under: Marmota monax (woodchuck)
Lineage: Eukaryota; Metazoa; Chordata; Mammalia; Rodentia; Sciuridae
Source: RNAcentral